AUAGUCCAAUGGUUAAGACUCUGCACUCCCAAUGCAGGGGGCCCAGGUUCGAUCCCUGGU
RNAcentral lists this transfer RNA (60 nucleotides) under Bos taurus (domestic cattle). It matches the Rfam family "tRNA", at positions 7 to 64 of the family's 71-position model. Rfam says of the family: Transfer RNA (tRNA) molecules are approximately 80 nucleotides in length. Their secondary structure includes four short double-helical elements and three loops (D, anti-codon, and T loops). The record is from Rfam by way of RNAcentral. Lineage: Eukaryota; Metazoa; Chordata; Mammalia; Artiodactyla; Bovidae. RNAcentral also lists the same sequence under 4 other names.